Molecule: transfer-messenger RNA, 355 nt
Filed under: Anaerococcus prevotii
Lineage: Bacteria; Bacillati; Bacillota; Tissierellia; Tissierellales; Peptoniphilaceae
Also listed under: 1 other name
Description: Standard tmRNA
Rfam family: transfer-messenger RNA
About the family: Bacterial tmRNA, also known as 10Sa RNA or SsrA, is named for its dual tRNA and mRNA-like properties. Its role is to liberate the mRNA from a stalled ribosome. To accomplish this part of the tmRNA is used as a reading frame that ends in a translation stop signal.
Source: RNAcentral
GGGGGUGACUUGGUUUCGACGUGGUCGACGAUCCCAUGGUUGCAAGUCGUAUGCUAAAACGUAAAUUGGCAAUUAAAUAUAAACGCAAACAACAAUAGCGAAGCAAACUUCGCACUAGCUGCCUAAUUUAAGGCAAGCAAUAAAUAUCGAGCUCGUCGCAAGCCUGAUAUUUGUUUCAUAAUUUAGCGACAACUGUUGUAUGUAAGCUUUGCCAUACAAUUAGUAUCAUGAAGCUAGCAUAAGGAUUUUUUGUAAGGUUUUUAUUCUUUAUGCAAAAUUAUAAAUCUUACUAAGCUUGUAGAUGCUAUGGAGAAAUCUUCCGCGGACAAGGGUUCAAAUCCCUUCACCUCCACCA